RNAcentral lists this ribosomal RNA (503 nucleotides) under uncultured bacterium. RNAcentral describes it as "partial 16S ribosomal RNA". It matches the Rfam family "Bacterial small subunit ribosomal RNA", at positions 30 to 523 of the family's 1533-position model. The record is from RNAcentral.
AUUGAACGCUGGCGGCAGGCUUAACACAUGCAAGUCGAGCGGGGUGAUGGUGCUUGCACUAUCACUUAGCGGCGGACGGGUGAGUAAUGCUUAGGAAUCUGCCUAUUAGUGGGGGACAACAUCUCGACAGGGAUGCUAAUACCGCCUACGUCCUACGGGAGAAAGCAGGGGAUCACUUGUGACCUUGCGCUAAUAGAUGAGCCUAAGUCGGAUUAGCUAGUUGGUGGGGUAAAGGCCUACCAAGGCGACGAUCUGUAGCGGUUCUGAGAGGAUGAUCCGCCACACUGGGACUGAGACGCGGCCCAGACUCAUACGGGAGGCAGCAGUGGGGAAUAUUGGACAAUGGGGGGAACCCUGAUCCAGCCAUGCCGCGUGUGUGAAGAAGGCCUUAUGGUUGUAAAGAACUUUAAGCGAGGAGGAGGCUCUUUUGGUUAAUACCCAAGAUGAGUGGACGUUACUCGCAGAAUAAGCACCGGCUAACUCUGUGCCAGCCGCCGCCGUAA